CCAUAACACCAGUUAAAUAGCCGCGGUAACUCUGACCGUGAUAAAGUAGCAUAAUCAUUUGUCAUUUAAUUGGUGACUAGAAUGAAUGGUUAAACGAAUCUCUAGCUGUCUCAACAAGAAAUAGAACAAAAUUAAAAUUACAGUGAAGAUGCUGUGAAUAAAUUGCAAGACGAAAAGACCCUAUUGAGCUUUACUGGAUGUUUGUGAACUUUUCUCAUCAUAAUAAUAUAAGUGACCUAUAAAGCAAAUAAGACAGUUUGGUUGGGGCGACCACCUCUAAAAUAGUAACAGAGGAGAUCUAAAGGUUAAAUUUAUGAAUACUAACUUUACUGAAAUAAUAAUAGUUUAAUCAGUUACUCACUAAGUAGGACAUAAUGACCCGCUAUUUUUUAUGUAAAAAAUAACGAUUACAGAAUAAGUUACCAUAGGGAUAACAGGGUAAUAGUUUUCAAGAGUUCAUAUCGACGAAACUGUUUGCCACCUCGAUGUUGAAUUGUGAU
Molecule: ribosomal RNA, 500 nt
Filed under: Cyanea capillata
Lineage: Eukaryota; Metazoa; Cnidaria; Scyphozoa; Semaeostomeae; Cyaneidae
Description: partial large subunit ribosomal RNA
Rfam family: Bacterial large subunit ribosomal RNA
Source: RNAcentral